RNAcentral lists this unclassified non-coding RNA (434 nucleotides) under rhizosphere metagenome. Its description in RNAcentral is "partial ribosomal RNA internal transcribed spacer region". The record is from RNAcentral.
GUAGGUGAACCUGCGGAAGGAUCAUUAACACGUGUAUUCCACGUAUUAUUUCCAACACUAAUAAGAUACAACGAACUUUCCCUAGUCGGCCGAUCUCUUAGCUGUCUCCGUAUGGUUGAGGAGAGACGCCCGCCGCCCUCAGGAGGCUCCUGGGGUCCGGCCUGGUGCUACACCAUAUAGAAGCUGUCAUUCCGGUCCAGCUUGCUGGAUUAGAGAGUGUGGCGGUAACUGGUCGACUAGGCUUUGUUAUGCCUCCUGUAUAGUUCUCAACCUCCGUCGGAUAUACAGGGGGACACCAUAUUUUUAACCAUAUUUUGACUAUUUGGCUAAUGUUGGGUCGGGGAGUCUUGAAGCUUGCUUCUUUACUUCUGCCGGAUCCUACUAAGAUUUAUCUUAACUAAGUACAACUCUUAGCAAUGGAUAUCUUGGUUCUC